RNAcentral lists this ribosomal RNA (182 nucleotides) under uncultured bacterium. RNAcentral's name for it is "partial 16S ribosomal RNA". It matches the Rfam family "Bacterial small subunit ribosomal RNA", at positions 1320 to 1500 of the family's 1533-position model. The record is from RNAcentral.
AUGAAGUCGGAAUCGCUAGUAAUCGCAGAUCAGCAAAGCUGCGGUGAAUACGUUCCCGGGCCUUGUACACACCGCCCGUCACACCACGGGAGUCGGUCGCGCCUGAAGCCGGUGGCCUAUCAGUAAUGGGGGAGCCGUCUAUGGCGAGAUUGGUAACUGGGGUGAAGUCGUAACAAGGUACC